Xenia sp. Carnegie-2017 is the source of this 644-nucleotide long non-coding RNA. RefSeq lists it as uncharacterized. Lineage: Eukaryota; Metazoa; Cnidaria; Anthozoa; Malacalcyonacea; Xeniidae. The record is from RefSeq and is a predicted model, not a curated record. The transcript is spliced from 2 exons.
UUAACUUAAGUUGUUUACGAAAAACAUUUUAAUAAUAUCAAUUAAAAUGUUUUCGAAACUUAUGAAAAACUCAGGCAUGUAGGCAAGGUACAUGGCAUAAAUACGUGAUUUAUACAUGAUCAGGCAACCCAUUAUAGGCAAGGUACAUGGCAUAAAUACGUGAUUUAUACAUGAUCAGGAAACCCAUUAUAGGCAAAGUACAUGGCAUAAAUACGGGAUUUAUACAUGAUCAGGCAACCCAUUAUAGGCAAGGUACAUGGCAUAAAUACGUGAUUUAUACAUGAUCAGGCAACCCAUUAUAGGCAAGGUACAUGGCAUAAAUACGUGAUUUAUACAUGAUCAGGCAACCCAUUAUAGGUAAAGUACAUGGCAUAAAUACGUGAUUUAUACAUGAUCAGGCAACCCAUUAUAGGCAAAGUACAUGGCAUAAAUACGGGAUUUAUACAUGAUCAGACAACCCAUUAUAGGCAAGGUACAUGGCAUAAAUACGUGAUUUAUACAUGAUCAGGCAACCCAUUAUAGGCAAGGUACAUGGCAUAAAUACGUGAUUUAUACAUGAUCAGGCAACCCAUUAUAGGCAAAGUACAUGGCAUAAAUACGGGAUUUAUACAUGAUCAGGCAACCCAUUAUAGGCAAGGUACAUG